CGCCACUAACGCGGGAGCGCGUACCGAGCGCGCUGAGAGGACGGGUAGGCCCGUCGACCGUACGAACCUGACCGGGUAAUGCCGGCGUAGGGAGAACGCACAUGUCUGAC
RNAcentral lists this non-coding RNA (110 nucleotides) under Mycolicibacterium vanbaalenii PYR-1. RNAcentral's name for it is "Mycobacterium vanbaalenii PYR-1 TPP riboswitch aptamer (THI element)". It matches the Rfam family "TPP riboswitch aptamer (THI element)". From Rfam's summary of the family: Vitamin B(1) in its active form thiamin pyrophosphate (TPP) is an essential coenzyme that is synthesised by coupling of pyrimidine and thiazole moieties in bacteria. The previously detected thiamin-regulatory element, thi box was extended, resulting in a new, highly conserved RNA secondary structure, the THI element, which is widely distributed in eubacteria and also occurs in some archaea. Analysis of operon structures identified a large number of new candidate thiamin-regulated genes, mostly transporters, in various prokaryotic organisms. Lineage: Bacteria; Bacillati; Actinomycetota; Actinomycetes; Mycobacteriales; Mycobacteriaceae. The record is from Rfam by way of RNAcentral.